This 73-nucleotide transfer RNA is filed under the name Camponotus floridanus (Florida carpenter ant). It matches the Rfam family "tRNA". From Rfam's summary of the family: Transfer RNA (tRNA) molecules are approximately 80 nucleotides in length. Their secondary structure includes four short double-helical elements and three loops (D, anti-codon, and T loops). The record is from Rfam by way of RNAcentral. Lineage: Eukaryota; Metazoa; Arthropoda; Insecta; Hymenoptera; Formicidae.
GUCUGGAUAGCUCAGUGGUCUAGAGCAGUUAUCCAAAAAAUGAAAAACUCGGGUUCGAUUCCCAAUCCAGCCA